AGUUCUUGUAUAAAUUAUUAUAUUAGCCUAUUCUACCUAUUUGAGGUAACUCGUUUUGUGUCUUUACAAAAUUAGAAUAAUGAAGGGAAAAAAAGAUUAAUAAUGAAAAAUACAAAACUAUAUUAAACGAGUACAUGAACUACAGCAAACAACUCAUUCUAGUGAAAUAUUGACAAACCAUCAAGUGAUAUCAGUUAGUGAAUGUGUAAAAAUAUAUUGCAAAUCGACAUUUGGUUGCAACUACUAGAGUGAACGAGACUAAAUAUAAAAAAAUAGCAUUUAUCAAUUGAACUAUUUGCAUAAGCAAUUAUCCUGUGAAAUAAUGAUUAUGUUUUAUACCAAAAAUUGAGAGACGAAGUAUACACUAAUUUUGUCCUUUUAACCUUUAACUAAUAUUACAUCAUACCUUGUAAUGACAAGGUUAACAAGAAAACAUGUUUCAUUAAUGAAACUUACUUGAUGACAAAUUAAAAGAGAACGGGCUAGUUACGUAACUUGUCUUAUUCAGUCAGUUGCUAGAAACUUAUAGAAUCUAGUUAAUUAUUUGAUAGUAUUUUCUGUUAACACUUUUUUUUAUGUUUCUAAUUUGUACACAAAAUAUGGAAUAAAAUACAGUAACUGAAACCAAAUGAGGAAAGUUCAAGCCUAUAUUUGUCAAACAAUAUAAUAAUUAAUAUUAAAGUUUAACUGGUAUUGCAAAGUUUAAAUAAAAACACUAAAAAUAAAUUUUGUGGAAUAUUUGCUUUGUGUUUGAGGUACAAGCUUAUUAAAUUUACCUCAUUUGGUCAAGUUAUCUAAUAUAAUUCGAUUCUUAAUUCACAUCAAUUACAACUGACAUAAGUAAGAUAAAUCAUAAGUCACACCAAGAGAAAUUAAUGAGCAAAUUCCUGGAAAAAAAAUUGUAGCAAGCCAAAGAAAUGGAUACAUAAACAUUUAUAAUCUUCAAUGCUGACCUGAGAAGAUUUGACGGUGAUUUGUCCAGGCCAUGGAUACAAUUUCUAUGUAUGUAGAAUGGAUACUUACACGACCGGGCCACGGCGGGAAACCUUUCAUUUUGGCCCUGUAAACAAACAUGAUACGACGUUAACAAUCGCGGUCUUUUCAUAUAUCGUUACACUUCCAAAAGCGAUUACAAGCAAAGUACAUGACCAUAAUUGCGUCAAAUAAAAUCAACUCACCAUACUAAAUCAUUGACAUCGUAUUUCCAUUCAGUCGACAUGUUUGCGAUGUUACGAGACCCGAGUGAAGCGAAAUAAAUUCAAAAUAGUUUUUACUACAAACGAAAA
Molecule: long non-coding RNA, 1286 nt
Organism: Adelges cooleyi (spruce gall adelgid)
Lineage: Eukaryota; Metazoa; Arthropoda; Insecta; Hemiptera; Adelgidae
Exons: 2
Source: RefSeq, a predicted model, not a curated record